AUACGGAAGGUCCGGGCGUUAUCCGGAUUUAUUGGGUUUAAAGGGAGCGCAGGCGGAGAUGCAAGCGUGACGUCAAAUUUCGGGGCUCAACCCCGUCUCGCGUCGCGAACUGCGUCCCUUGGUUGCGGGAAGGGGAGGCGGAACUCGUGGUGUAGCGGUGAAAUGCAUAGAUAUCACGAAGAACUCCGAUCGCGAAGGCAGCCUUCCGGCCCGUCAACGACGCUCAUGCCCGAAGGUGCGGGUAUCAAACAGGAUUAGAUACCCUGGUAGUCCGCACAGUAAACGAUGGACACCCGCGGUUUGGCCUGUAUGGCUGAGCCGCCAAGCGAAAGCGUUAAGUGUCCCACCUGGGGAGUACGCCGGCAACGGUGAAACUCAAAGGAAUUGACGGGG
This 393-nucleotide ribosomal RNA is filed under the name uncultured bacterium. RNAcentral describes it as "partial 16S ribosomal RNA". It matches the Rfam family "Bacterial small subunit ribosomal RNA", at positions 523 to 918 of the family's 1533-position model. The record is from RNAcentral.